Long non-coding RNA from Vigna umbellata (rice bean), 1196 nucleotides. RefSeq lists it as uncharacterized. NCBI's taxonomy places the organism in Eukaryota, Viridiplantae, Streptophyta, Magnoliopsida, Fabales, Fabaceae. The record is from RefSeq and is a predicted model, not a curated record.
ACAUUUCUUUUCCGUUUCGCAGUACUUUCUCUUCAUCCUCUACGCAAUUUCUUUUUGGUUCUUCUCUUCUAUUGUCAAAUUUCUUUUCCAAUCUCCCUCUCUUGUACUCCCUCUCCUGUUCUCCCUCCUUCCUUCUCCUUCAUUCUCCUUCAUUCAUUCUCCUGCCAUAGCUCUCGUUCGAUCGCUGCUUCCGCUGAUGGCACACUUUCAAUCUUCGAUUCUCGCGAUCCAUCUUCUUCUUCCUCCCUCCGCUCUACUUUCAAAUCUAGGGUUCUCGAAGGAAACAUCGUGAAGAUUGUUUGGGUUCCGCCAGAGUACGGUGAUGCAGUCGCAUGUAUUUCCGUCGAUGGAAUUGUGUCAUUGUGGGAGGAGGUUGCAUAAGGACUUAAUUGCAACUGGAGGUAUUGAUACAAAUGUCCUACGCUGAUUAGAGACGUAGAUCCUUGGAGUUUGAAGUUGGGGAUCAUGUCUUCCUCCGAGUGACUCCUACUACUCGGUGUGGGAAGAGUUAUUUGUGCUAGGAAGUUAUCUCCUAGGUACCUUGGUCCUUAUCAGAUUCUGAGACGUAUAGGAUAAGUUGCCUAUGAGAUAGCCAUGCCACUCCAGCUUGCAAACCUUCAUCCAGUGUUCCAAAUGCUGUUAUUUUUGACCGACCUUUCAAGACAGAUAUUAUCUACACUAAGUGGUCACUCCAAAAAGGUUUUAUUUCAGUUGGAAUUGCUGGAGUUAUCUUUUCUUUAAUUUUUUUUUCUGAUUGUGGGUGCUUUUGGUAGGUGACCAGUGUAAAGUUUGUAGCUUAGGGUGAAUCAUUCUUAACUGGUUCAGCAGAUAAGGUUGGAAGUGUUUUAUUUGGGGUCUUUUUGGAUGAAUAUAUUCAAAUAAUAGUGUAAGCACUUGCAUAUGAGUUGUUGUUUUUUUCAUCAAAAGGGUAAUAGGGUUACACUGUUUUUAUAUAAGUUUGUUGGUUGUUCUCAUAAGUUAUUAUGGCUAGAUUGUUGAAAUAAUAAGGUGAAAGAAAAAAGUCAAAUGGACAUAUCAUAUGCUGUCAAGAACACUUAGUCGACUUGUGAUAAGAAAAGUCCAAAUAAGUUGUUCCAAAUGGGCCUUGAUAACCCUCUCUGCCCAAGUUCUGACAUCAUAUAACAUCACAAGAAUGUUCCAUCCAUGCAUUGCUACAUUAUUUGUUCUCAUAAUGA